AGGUUCGGGGCCAGUUUUGUUUGAGUAUAAGCGAAGUCUGCUCGAGAUUCCAAUUGCCAAGAUGUUAUACCUGCUGAGAUCUUUGAUUUGGCUUUUGGUGAUGAGAAGUCUCACAAUAUAGAGAACUAAAUCACUAAUGCCCUGUCGGAUCUUAAGAUGAUACCUAAUUAUUUAUUAAGGCGUGAACCUACCUGACUUGAGUUCGGUGUUAAGCUCACGAUGUUCCACGACAGAGGAGGGACUGUUGGAAGAGAAGGAGGUCCUACUCAUCUUGAUAUAUUAUCUCAGCCACCAGAUACUAUUCACGGUUCAUUUCAUGUUUGGAUUAACGGGGAAAGCCGUACAGAAAUCAGUGUUCGAUUCUUCAAAGCUCUAUCUAACGACUAAUAUUGGCCAACGACAACAAUUGCGUUAUUAUCUUGCUGCAACGAAUCAGGGUCCAUAAGUAAAUUGUUUUUGAGAUUCAUGCUUAUUUGAAUCCAAUCAAAGUUAACAAUACUAGCAUUGAAGGCAGGUUCCCACACAACAGUUCAAUUAGUUACAACUUACAAAUGCAGCUAAUGAUGUUGAAAGGUUCUAAAUUGGAUGGUGAUAUAUGAAUUGAAUAGCAGCUGUAAGUGGAAAGCAAUGUAAAAGCUAUGUAUAAUUCUUCUGUCUUCAGUGAAUAAAAAUACAAUGGAACCUGUUUCAUCAAAUUAUUCUUUGUAUUAAAAACCAUCAUGGAUUAGCUCUCGACAAGUAGUUUUGUAUCAA
This is a long non-coding RNA of Vicia villosa (hairy vetch), 753 nucleotides long. RefSeq lists it as uncharacterized. The record is from RefSeq and is a predicted model, not a curated record. The transcript is spliced from 2 exons. Lineage: Eukaryota; Viridiplantae; Streptophyta; Magnoliopsida; Fabales; Fabaceae.